This 999-nucleotide unclassified non-coding RNA is filed under the name Hevea brasiliensis (rubber tree). The record is from RNAcentral. Lineage: Eukaryota; Viridiplantae; Streptophyta; Magnoliopsida; Malpighiales; Euphorbiaceae.
AAUAGUUUUUAGAGUGUGAUGUUUUUUUUUUUGUGUUUAUGUGUUUUUAUUGUUUAAUUUUUAUUUAUGAGUGAGAAUAUGCGGUGUUUGGUUUUUUGUUUUUGCGAUAGUUUAUUGAGAAUGAUGAUUUUUAAUUUUAUUUAUGUUUUUAUAAAGGAUAUGAAUUUAUUAUUUUUUAUGGUUGUAUAGUAUUUUAUGGUGUAUAUGUGUUAUAUUUUUUUAAUUUAGUUUAUUAUUGUUGGAUAUUUGGGUUGGUUUUAAGUUUUUGUUAUUGUGAAUAGUGUUAUAAUAAAUAUAUGUGUGUAUGUGUUUUUAUAGUAGUAUGAUUUAUAAUUUUUUGGGUAUAUAUUUAGUAAUGGGAUGGUUGGGUUAAAUGGUAUUUUUAGUUUUAGAUUUUUGAGGAAUCGUUAUAUUGAUUUUUAUAAUGGUUGAAUUAGUUUAUAGUUUUAUUAAUAGUGUAAAAGUGUUUUUAUUUUUUUAUAUUUUUUUUAGUAUUUGUUGUUUUUUGAUUUUUUAAUGAUUGUUAUUUUAAUUGGUGUGAGAUGGUAUUUUAUUGUGGUUUUGAUUUGUAUUUUUUUGAUGGUUAGUGAUGAUGAGUAUUUUUUUAUGUGUUUUUUGGUUGUAUAAAUGUUUUUUUUUGAGAAGUGUUUGUUUAUAUUUUUUGUUUAUUUUUUGAUGGGGUUGUUUGUUUUUUUUUUGUAAAUUUGUUUAAGUUUUUUGUAGAUUUUGGAUAUUAGUUUUUUGUUAGAUGAGUAGGUUGUAAAAAUUUUUUUUUAUUUUGUAGGUUGUUUGUUUAUUUUGAUGGUAGUUUUUUUUGUUGUGUAGAAGUUUUUUAGUUUAAUUAGAUUUUAUUUGUUAAUUUUGGUUUUUGUUGUUAUUGUUUUUGGUGUUUUAGAUAUGAAGUUUUUGUUUAUGUUUAUGUUUUGAAUGGUAUUGUUUAGGUUUUUUUUUAGGGUUUUUAUGGUUUUAGGUUUAAUAUUUAAGUUUUUAAUUUAUUUU